This 144-nucleotide ribosomal RNA is filed under the name Bacillus spizizenii. RNAcentral describes it as "partial 16S ribosomal RNA". It matches the Rfam family "Bacterial small subunit ribosomal RNA", at positions 1 to 141 of the family's 1533-position model. The record is from RNAcentral. Lineage: Bacteria; Bacillati; Bacillota; Bacilli; Caryophanales; Bacillaceae.
UUAUCGGAGAGUUUGAUCCUGGCUCAGGACGAACGCUGGCGGCGUGCCUAAUACAUGCAAGUCGAGCGAACAGAUGGGAGCUUGCUCCCUGAUGUUAGCGGCGGACGGGUGAGUAACACGUGGGUAACCUGCCUGUAAGACUGG